CAGAAAGUAAGUGGUGAAGUUCAGUAAUUCAAUCCUAGAAGAAAGUGACAUAGUGAUCCGCCUGAGUCUACCCUGGGGUGGGUCUUUAAAGUAGCAUAGUAUAUGAGAUACUAGGGCUUAAAAAUAGGGUCAAGAGGACUCCGGAGUCUGGGACUCUGCCAGCCUAAGAGAAUAGACACACUGAGUAGACGUACUAGUGUAAGAAAUAGGCCCGGGCCGACAGAACACCCCACAGGAAAAGGAGUGGACUCAGUGUAGUAGCACGAUUUGCUGGAGCAGAACUAAUCCAGAUUGGGGCGGGUGAAGGCAGUCCUUCCCGAGGUGACGAAUACUCCACUCCACACCCAUCAACCAGGUGAUUGGGUGCUGAUAAAGGACUUCAGAAGGAAGCGGUGGAACCAGCCCAGGUGGAGAGAACCAUUGCAAGUGCUACUGAUGACUAACACCGCCGUCAAGACCGAUGGAAGAGCGACGUGGGUGCAUCACACGCAUUGUAAAAAGGCACCAGAGGACACAUACUAUCAUGCAUCAGUGUCAUUACAUCUAAAGAUUGGUGCAUACAAAAGUAUGGAGGAGUAGAAUUGGACUACAUGGUGGGCAGUUCUACUGCCUGGACUUUUGACUUAUGUGACGUAAUUAAUUGUGCAGGAAAGAAUUCAUCAUAACGCGGAUAUGACAUACUUAUGUUGGGACAAGGAUGACUUCCAGCUAACUUCCAUGUUUUUACCAUAAUAAUUGAAGGUUUUAGUCAAUGAUUGUAUGAGAAUCAAAGGGGGGAAAUGUAAAGGAAAUGCUACAUGCUUCGGUGAUUCACAUACAGUCAGUAGUAUUAUGUUCUCCAGGGAAAAAUGCUUAUGCAAGCAAAGAACGUUAAGGGAGUGUGACUAUAGAUCAGAUAAACAGGAACUGUCUAUCUUGUUUUACUACACUGCCUGCAAAGAAGAAACGACACCCAAGCAGACCGUUACCAACUGGCGUGAAGAGAUAAGCAACGCUUAAAGCUAAUUGGUCAGAGCAUACAGCCAGAAUUGUAUAUUAAGCAACGCUCUGUAUGCUCGGAGCUCCUCUCGGUAGUGAGCCCCACACUCUGUGGAAUCUUCCUUUUCUAUUAAAACCUUUUUACUUAUUAUCCA
Molecule: non-coding RNA, 1133 nt
Organism: Electrophorus electricus (electric eel)
Lineage: Eukaryota; Metazoa; Chordata; Actinopteri; Gymnotiformes; Gymnotidae
Source: RefSeq, a predicted model, not a curated record